GACAUGAAAUGAAAAUGUUUUUUUUCCUCCUCAUUGCCCUAGGUAGAGACAAUGAGGAUGCAAUAUAAUUAUUAAUAGAACCUCACAUUUCACAUCGUACACUUAAACCAUAGAUCAUAGACCUUAAUUGCUACAUGGAUUUCAAUGUUAAUUCUGACUUUCAGUUAAACUUGCUGUGGAAAAAGAGGGGAACAGAGAUAAUUGUUGCAACCCUGCCAUCCCAAGUGAAGGGUCGGAGCCUCUUCAUCCACCACACUGAUCUACGGUGUCUACGACCCCACCUGUGGUUGACAGGAGAGGUAGGCGUAUUAAAAGCUCUUCCUCUCACUGCUAGUCUAUCUGUCUUUCAAUUUGUAGUCCUUCAAACUGAUGUAUUUGGAGGACUGAAGACCUCCAUUAACUCACACACACACACACACACACACACACACACACACACACACACACACACACACACACACACACACACACACACACACACACACACACACACACACACACGUAAUAAUGUCAAUGUGAAAAAGCAUUAACAUGCAAGCAUUAAUAUAUCCUAUAAAGGGGGCUAACGUUCUGGAGCUAAGGAACAAGCUAGUACAGAACAAUAGGCAGAGCAAGAAGUUUAGCCACGAGCUUGUUGUCUGCGUUUGUCCACAGUUGGAAUAAAGACAUCAGUUGAAGUACAUUAAAACUGUGGUGAUACCUUGGCACUUAAGGAUAUCACAACACGCACACACACACACACAGACAGGCAGGCAGAUAGACAGACAUACUAUCCCUCUUUGUUAUUACCUGUCUUUCUUUCUGUUGUACAUGGAAAACCACUGAGAUGAAGCCACCCCCCUCUGAGUGAGUGGUGAUCUCAUGAUAAGCCAACAGUAGGCCAUAACUUCGUUAUUAAUUUCAAUGGCCAAAGAAACUAGUUUGUGUUCAUAUGGUGAUGCUGUGUGCUGAUGCUAAUCAAACAUUAUUUUGUGUUUAUCAGAUAAUUCAGGGAUUGCUGCAUCUCAGUGCCUUCACGUACAACGUGGUGGACACCAUUUACCUAAUGGAUUAUUACACCGCAGGUGUACUUUUAUUUGGUGACAGAGCUACUACACGUCGCCACACUUUACCUAAGGUAAACUUCGAUAACUUUGACGGAAUCCUGUCAUUUGUCCACGUGAACAAAAAUCACUGGAACAUGCUGUACAUUCAUGCAAAGUCUGGUACUGUGUACCAAAUGGAUCCCUCACCAGCAUCCUCUGAGCUUGAGGACUCUACCCAUGCGGCUCAGAGACUACAGGAAUACUUGAAGAUUAGAAAACAUCAGGGGAAAACUGACUGGGUGGAUGUGAAGUGGAAAGGAGGAGUGAUGCCCCACCCAGUGCAAAUGGAUGGUUGCAGCUGUGGUGUCAUUGUUGUUGAAGUAAGUUGAUAUAUGUAGCAUAGAGGAAACAUGAUGUUUCUUUAAUUUUUGUGAUGAUGGAGAUAAGCUUACAUUUGGGUGUUUCCACAGAUAUACAAGAUGAUUUCAAAGGAUAAGUUCACUAUUGUGUACUUUGAGCCCCCUUUCUCGGUUGGCUAGGAUGAAAUAGAAUGGUUGACACUGAAAUGUUGACGUUUGGUCCUGUCUCUGGGUAUUUGGCUCAUUUAGAAUCGCCCCUGCCUGCUUCAGAAUGGCUGCCUAUGGGCAUUUACGAACCAUGAAUGCCCAUAGGCAACCAUUUAGAAGCUGGCAGCAGUGAUUCUAAAACCUCCCCACCAAGCAUGUGUUGACAAAUGGUUUAGUUUUCUAUUAAAAGAGAAAGACAAUCACUUUAAUGUUGUUAAUUCAGAUGGCCAGAGCAGUGAUGGAAGCCUUCCCUGAGUUCCCCAAAAUGAACUUCUCAACAAAAAGGAGAGCCAUGGAAGAGGCGAGGAGAGAUAUGGCUCUCCAAGUCCUUGAAUCAUCAGGUAUACAAUGCAGUAUACAUCUUUUUUUGAAUAACUUAAAGGCAUUCCAAAUAUAUUCUGAUUAAGGGCCCAAUUUUGAGAAUGAUAUGGUAACAGAAUUGGUGAAUGUGAUUGGCGAAUGCAAUUUCCCUUAGCCACAGGCCUUGCCCAUAUCAGAGUCUCCACCGAUUACCUCUUGCGGGUUUAAAAAAAGGCACAUACCAUUUGCCGAUAAAAUCCCCAAAAUUGGGCCCUAAAUAUGUCAUGCAAAUACACUUUAUUUCAGUCUUUGAUGAGGAGACUUGUUCGAUGUGUGGAGCUGACAAGCCCCCUGGACAAGCACCUCCCGUUACAGACUGGGUGAGUUGUUGUGAGCAGCACAUACAUUUUGUAACGUAAUGUGACAUACAGUGUUGGUAGUAACUAGUAACAAAGUUAAUUAACAAAGAUAAUUCAAUUUUGAUAGCAAUAUGUAAAAAGGCCAAGAAAGUUGAAGGGGUUCAAUGUUCACAGAAAACUUUCUUUGAUUCAAACUUAACCUUUGCUAUAAUCUGCUGGUUUGGUGACCUGAGUCUAACAAACAAAAACAGGGUUUGUUCUACUCGGUCUAUCCUCAGAACAACGAGAGGCAAUGUUGAUAUUAUGACCAAAAGGGGGCGUGCCUCCGUGAAAUGCCGCAAGACAGCUGGGAGAUGUAGCCUAGGCCUACACCUUACGACUCGUACGGCCAGUUCCAUACAACUGGAUCGCGGCAUAACUGUCCUUCUCUUCCUUUCUUCAAAGCUCAUCUCAAGACCUUUCUGUUUAACUUCUCUCCCACUCCAAACACAUAGCUCUAUCCUCUAGACUAGAGGCUCCCUUUGUUUAGUUUAGUUUUUCUCUUUUUUUGUAUUGUUGUUUGUUUGUGGUUGUAUUUUCAUUUCCACUAUGUGAAGUGACCUUGGGUUUGAGAAGGGAGCUAUAUAAAUGGAAAUUAUUAUUAUCACUAUUAUUAUUAUUUACCUGUUUUGAAACCAAAUUGCCCCGUAAGGACAUUUCAGCUCAAUUAAAUUCACCUGGAGGGUCAGGUAACGCAAAAGUAACAAGUGACAUAAGGCAUUACUCCACACAAGUAACGUAAUGAAGUAACUUCCCCAAUGCUGGUGACAUACCACUUAAGCCUAAGUGUCCUACCAAGUGACAAAGUCAUGUACAUGAAUGAAUCAUUAAUUGUUUUUUCAAUUCAACAGAUCCAGUGUGAUAAUUGUGACCGGUGGUUCCAUAACCUUUGCUUGAACAUGGACCAAAAUAAGUUAAAGGAACUCAAGAAAAGGCAAUGGCUGUGUGUUUUAUGCCGAUGACAAGGUUGAGGAAAAUUGUGCCUCGUCCAAGUGCCAGGUUUUGUUUAGAAAUGUGAUUAAAAAAAACGUAAAAGGCGUGUUAACAUCAGAAGAUGUGGAAAGCAUGAAUGGGGAGGGGAGACACACACACACACACACACACACACACACACACACACACACACACACACACACACACACACACACACACACACACACACACACACACACACAUUUCCAUUUCAUCUAUUCUCUCUGGUUACAGCCAUAUACACUUUGAUAUUGGAUCCCUUCCACUUACUUUAACCCUAGGCUAUACCGUAAGGACUGAAGAUCAAUGCCUGAUUACCAAAAGAUUCUGUUGAGUCAGUGUAUAAAACACAACAGCUGCGUUGAUUGAGAAACGCUUUACACCAAUACUGUGCAUAGUCUGAUUCAUUGCCAUGGAUUGCAAGAAGGAAAUAUUACAGAAAGGUCUGAAGUUAAAAUAUAAUUUGCAAGUUCACAUAAUGAAGUGGGAAAACAAAUGAAGGUGUGUUUGAUUAGUAUAUCAUGAAUGGAAUUCUUAAAAUAUUUAAAGAAAAUUGGAGGUGCAAAAUAUUAAUUUUUAAGGAGGUGUGUGUUGUUAUUACCAUAUUGUAGGACAGGUCCACAUUGGUCUGGGGCCUCUGGGUCCCAUAACUCGGAAGCUAUUGAGCAAAAAGCAAUUUCCCAUAGGAAACUAAUGGGAUUCUUAAAAUAUUCAAAUAAAAUUGGAGGUGCAAAAUAUUAAUUUUUAGUGAGGUGUGUGUUGUUAUUACCAUAUUGUAGGACAGGUCCACAUUGGUCUGGGGCCUCUGGGUCCCAUAACUCGGAAGCUAUUGAGCAAAAAGCCGUUUUCCAUAGGAAAUGAAUGGGAUUCUUAAAAUAUUUAAAUAAAAUAGGAGGAGCAAAAUAUUAAUUUUUAGUGAGGUGUGUGUUGUUAGUACCACAUAGUAGGACAGGUCAACAUUGGUCUGGGGCCACUGGCUCCUAUAACUCGGAAGCUAUUGAGCAAAAAGCCGUUUUCCAUAGGAAAUGAAUGGGAUUUUUAAAAAAUUCAAAUAAAAUUGGAGGUGCAAAAUAUUAAUUUUUAGUGAGGUGUGUGUUGUAAGUACCACAUAGUAGGACA
Molecule: long non-coding RNA, 4380 nt
Organism: Gadus morhua (Atlantic cod)
Lineage: Eukaryota; Metazoa; Chordata; Actinopteri; Gadiformes; Gadidae
Source: Ensembl